AGUGAACGCUGGCGGUAGGCCUAACACAUGCAAGUCGAACGGCAGCACAGUAAUAGCUUGCUCUUACGGGUGGCGAGUGGCGGACGGGUGAGGAAUACAUCGGAAUCUACUUUUUCGUGGGGGAUAACGUAGGGAAACUUACGCUAAUACCGCAUACGACCUACGGGUGAAAGCAGGGGAUCUUCGGACCUUGCGCGAUUGAAUGAGCCGAUGUCGGAUUAGCUAGUUGGCGGGGUAAAGGCCCACCAAGGCGACGAUCCGUAGCUGGUCUGAGAGGAUGAUCAGCCACACUGGAACUGAGACACGGUCCAGACUCCUACGGGAGGCAGCAGUGGGGAAUAUUGGACAAUGGGCGAAAGCCUGAUCCAGCCAUACCGCGUGGGUGAAGAAGGCCUUCGGGUUGUAAAGCCCUUUUGUUGGGAAAGAAAAGCAGCAGGUUAAUACCCCGCUGUUCUGACGGUACCCAAAGAAUAAGCACCGGCUAACUUCGUG
Molecule: ribosomal RNA, 492 nt
Filed under: uncultured bacterium
Lineage: Bacteria
Description: partial 16S ribosomal RNA
Rfam family: Bacterial small subunit ribosomal RNA
Source: RNAcentral